RNAcentral lists this long non-coding RNA (1585 nucleotides) under Homo sapiens (human). RNAcentral describes it as "HSALNT0008054". The record is from RNAcentral. Lineage: Eukaryota; Metazoa; Chordata; Mammalia; Primates; Hominidae.
AAACAGGUUUAGUGAGACAAAAUCUUUUUGUCUACGUGGGAAUGGCUCGGAGAAACUGGUUCUCAAGGGGGAAUCAAAAGAUUAAAUUCAGCUGCGUUGCCAAUUUAUUUGCAGGCCAAACAAGUGUGCGAUGGAAAUCUUUGGAGGGGGAGGUGCCCGCCUCUGUGAGAAGCCCCUGUUGACAGCACCAGAGGGGGCUCCCAGGCAGCUGUCCUGACCACAGCUGAGACUGAGCUUAAUGGAGGGAGAUUUGUGCGGGGAGAGAAUGAGCAUCUCAGUGCUUGACUGAGGCUAUCCUGGAUUAAGCCAAGUGAAGCUUUAGCCGAAAAAAGCCAUUACAAACUUCUCUCUGUGAAGAUCCACAGGAGAAAUUUCUCUCUGGCCUCAGUACUAGAAAGACUUGUGUUUCUCCUGAGUGCCUGUUUACCUUACAGACUCUGUGAAUAAGAUAAUUCCAUCGUUUUGAGACUGUGUUCCCAAGAGUCAGGGGGGGGUCUUCCAGACUGCCUGAGGAGCUACUAUGGGCUUGGGAAUGAGAGCAAAGAGGGAGGUGGACAUGGGCUCUGGGGACUUGGAUUCUGGCUUCCACGAGAGCAGACCUGCUUUUUUGUUUUCUGCAUAAAUUUUAUAUGAAGAAAGGAUUCAGUGGCCAGCAAAAAGGUCUGGAAACCACUGACUUAACCAAUUGCUUCUUGUAGCAUUUAGAAUAAACUCUAACCCAGAACCAGAGUGGUCUGCCCUUGCAUAUCCUUUAGCUCAUCCUGUGUUGUCUCCCUUCACUCAUUACUUUAUUUAUACCUAUCUUUCAGUUCCUGCAGUAAAAGCCAUGGUCCUUCCAACAUGAUGGCCACUGGCUGGAAUCUUUUCUCAACCUUUGUCUGAUGAUCUCUUCACUGUAGAAUCACUGGGGUUUAUGUUCAGCUACGUACAACAGUGAUUCUCAAAGAACUGUGGCUUAAACAAGACAGACAUCUGUAUCUCUUUUAUGUCAGGCGGGAAUCUAGGGUCCCUGUGGUGUCUUUAGAAUGUCAUCUGGAUGUGUCUUUCUUCUCUGCCACCCUCGGACAUGCCUUUCAUCUUCAAGAUCCCGUCAUGGUCCAAAGGACUUUGGAGCCAUCAGUAGGAAGAAGUGGGAACCACAAAGCGAUGCUUCUCCCAACCAAAGCUGCUGUCUUUAAGCAGUUUCCGGAAGCCAAGAGUGUUUCCACUUACAUUUUAUUGGCCAGAACUUAGUCACGUGGUCAUCUCCCACUGUAAGGGAAGCUGGAAAAUGUAACGUUUUAUUGGGGCAGUAAUGUGCUUCCUUAAAAACUGGAAUUCUAUUAUUAACAAAGAAGGAGGAAAUGGAAAUCAGGAGGCAACUCGGAGGUUUCAAGUUCAAUGUCACUCUCCCCCAUCUAAAGUGUGAUCUCAAUCUUCCCUAAUAUUUGCUCUCUUAGAACACUAUUCAUUUCCUUUAUGGAAUUUUCAUAAUUUAUAACUUAUGUCUAACUGUUAAAAUUUGUCUUCAAAGCUGGAUGGUAAGUUCUCCGAGGCGAAACACUGAGUCUUUGUUAUCCCACGCCAUAUAACCUAGGUCCAACAA